RNAcentral lists this ribosomal RNA (463 nucleotides) under uncultured bacterium. Its description in RNAcentral is "partial 16S ribosomal RNA". It matches the Rfam family "Bacterial small subunit ribosomal RNA", at positions 28 to 507 of the family's 1533-position model. The record is from RNAcentral.
GACGAACGCUGGCGGCGUGCUUAACACAUGCAAGUCGAGCGGUAAGGCCCUUCGGGGUACACGAGCGGCGAACGGGUGAGUAACACGUGAGUAAUCUGCCCAUCACUUCGGGAUAACUCCGGGAAACCGGUGCUAAUACCGAAUAUGACCACUUCAGGCAUCUGAUGGUGGUGGAAAGUUCCGGCGGUGAUGGAUGAGCUCGCGGCCUAUCAGCUUGUUGGUGGGGUAGUGGCCUACCAAGGCUUCGACGGGUAGCCGGCCUGAGAGGGUGACCGGCCACACUGGGACUGAGACACGGCCCAGACUCCUACGGGAGGCAGCAGUGGGGAAUAUUGGACAAUGGGCGAAAGCCUGAUCCAGAAACGCCGCGUGAGGGAUGACGGCCUUCGGGUUGUAAACCUCUUUCAGCAGGGACGAAGCGCAAGUGACGGUACCUGCAGAAGAAGCACCGGCCAACUACGUG